GACGAACGCUGGCGGCGUGCUUAACACAUGCAAGUCGAACGGAAAGGCCCUGCUUUUGUGGUGUGCUCGAGUGGCGAACGGGUGAGUAACACGUGAGUAACCUGCCCUUGUCUUUGGGAUAACUUCAGGAAACUGGGGCUAAUAUCGUAUAGGAGCUCCUGCUGCAUGGUGGGGGUUGGAAAUUUUCGGCGGUUGGGGAUGGACUCGCGGCUUAUCAGCUUGUUGGUGGGGUAGUGGCUUACCAAGGCUUUGACCGGUAGCCGGCCUGUGAGGGUGACCGGCCACCUGGGUACUGAGAUACGGCGCAGACGCCUACGGGAGGCAGCAGUGGGGAUUAUUGCACAAUGGGCGGGAGCCUGAUGCAGCAACGCCGCGUGCGGGAUGACGGCCUUCGGGUUGUAAACCGCAUUCGCCUGUGACGAAGCGUGAGUGACGGUAAUGGGUAAAGAAGCACCGGCUAACUACGUG
Molecule: ribosomal RNA, 468 nt
Filed under: uncultured bacterium
Lineage: Bacteria
Description: partial 16S ribosomal RNA
Rfam family: Bacterial small subunit ribosomal RNA
Source: RNAcentral